RNAcentral lists this ribosomal RNA (487 nucleotides) under uncultured Entrophospora. Its description in RNAcentral is "SSU rRNA". It matches the Rfam family "Eukaryotic small subunit ribosomal RNA", at positions 569 to 1054 of the family's 1831-position model. The record is from RNAcentral. Lineage: Eukaryota; Fungi; Glomeromycota; Glomeromycetes; Entrophosporales; Entrophosporaceae.
AGCAGCCGCGGUAAUUCCAGCUCCAAUAGCGUAUAUUAAAGUUGUUGCAGUUAAAAAGCUCGUAGUUGAAUUUCGGGAUUGGCGCAUCGGUCGUGCCUCACGGGGUAUGAACUGGUGCAGUCAAUUUCUCACCUUCUGGAGAACCGCGAUGUCCUUAAUUGGAUGCCGCGGGGAACCAGGACCUUUACUUUGAAAAAUUAGAGUGUUUAAAGCAGGCAUUUUUGCUUGAAUACAUUAGCAUGGAAUAAUAAAAUAGGACGGCAUGGUUCUAUUUUGUUGGUUUCUAGGACCACCGUAAUGAUUAAUAGGGAUAGUUGGGGGCAUUAGUAUUCAAUUGUCAGAGGUGAAAUUCUUGGAUUUAUUGAAGACUAACUACUGCGAAAGCAUUUGCCAAGGAUGUUUUCAUUAAUCAAGAACGAAAGUUAGGGGAUCGAAGACGAUCAGAUACCGUCGUAGUCUUAACCAUAAACUAUGCCGACUAGGAAUC